CCCAAUCCCAGACCAUCUCUUUUUGGGGUGGGACCCCCCAAAUCCCAGACCAUCACUUUUUGGGGUGGGGACCCCCCAAUCCCAGCUCUUUUUGGGGUGGGGACCCCCCAAUUCCAGCUCUUUUAGGGUGGGGACCCCCCAGUUUCAGUCCCAGCUCUUUUUGGGGUGAGGACCCCCAAAUCCCAAUCCUAGCUCAUUUAGGGGUGGGGACCCCAAUCCCAUCACUUUUUAGGGUGGGGACCCCCCAGUUUCAGCUCUUUUUGGGGUGGGACCCCCCAAUCCCAGCUCUUUUAGGGAUGGGGACCCCCCAGUUUCAGUCCCAGUUCUUUUUGGGGUGGGGACCCCCCCAAUCCNUGGAUUUUUCUCAGAUUUCCUCCACUCCAUGAGGGAAAAAACACAAGUCCAGAAAACCUCUGCCAUCCCAAAAUGGAUUUUUUUCCAGAUCUCCUCCAUGAGCAGAAAUCACAACCCCAAAAUCCCAAAUCCAGAAAACCCCCAUUGUCCCAAAUUGGAUUUUUCUCAGAUCUCCUCCACUCCAUGAGGGAAAAAUCCAAGUCCAGGAAACCCCCAGUGUCCCAUGUUGGAUUUUUGGAUCUUUUGUGGAUGUUGGAUUUUUUUGGAUCUCCACUCCAUGACCAAUAAUCAAAACCCCAAAAUCCCAAAUCCAGAAAACUCCCAUUGUCCUAAAUUGGAUUUUUUUCAGAUCUCCUCCAUGAGCAAAAAUCACAACCCCAAAAAGCAAAUCCAGAAAACCCCCAUUGUCCCAAGGUGAAUUUUUCUCAGAUCUCCUCCAUGGCAUGAAUGAAAAUCAUGAACCCCAAAAUCCCAACUCCAGAAAACCCCCAUUGUCCUAAAUUGGAUUUUUCUCAGAUCUCCUCCACUCCAUGAGGGAAAAACCCAAGUCCAGCAAACCCCUGUUAUCUCCAAACUGCAUUUUUUUUGGGUCUCCUCCAUGAGCAAAAAUCACAACCCCAAAAAGCAAAUCCAGGAAACCCCUAUUGUCCCAAGGUGAAUUUUUUUCAGAUCUCCUCCAUGGCAUGAAUGAAAAUCAUGAACCCCAAAAACCCAACUCCAGAAAACUCCCACUGUCCCAAAUUGGAUUUUUCUCAGAUCUCCUCCACUCCAUGAGGGAAAAACCCAAGUCCAGGAAACCCCUGUUAUCUCCAAAUUGGAUUUUUUUUGGGUCUCCUCCAUGAGCAGAAAUCACAACCCCAAAAUCCCAACUCCAGAAAACUCCCAUUGUCCUAAAUUGGAUUUUUCUCAGAUCUCCUCCACUCCAUGAGGGAAAAACCCAAGUCCAGCAAACCCCUGUUAUCUCCAAAUU
RNAcentral lists this long non-coding RNA (1324 nucleotides) under Zonotrichia albicollis (white-throated sparrow). RNAcentral's name for it is "lncRNA (ENSZALG00000001476.1)". Lineage: Eukaryota; Metazoa; Chordata; Aves; Passeriformes; Passerellidae. The record is from RNAcentral.